This is a long non-coding RNA of Gossypium arboreum, 1754 nucleotides long. RefSeq lists it as uncharacterized. The record is from RefSeq and is a predicted model, not a curated record. Lineage: Eukaryota; Viridiplantae; Streptophyta; Magnoliopsida; Malvales; Malvaceae. The transcript has 3 exons.
UGCUAAUCCUUCUUCCAUUCUUCAUCUUCUUAUUAUUUCUUCUCUUUUUCCUUUUUCCGUCCCAUAUUACAGACGUUAUAUUCGAGGUAAACCUUCGAUUUCACUGUAAAUUUUCUUCUUUUUUUUUUCUUAAAAAAAUUGAAUCCAUGGGUUUUCUGGUAGAAAUCAAAAUGGUGUAGAGCUUUUGCCGUUACUGAGAUAAUUAGUGGGAAAAAGAUCAGAUAUUUCCCAUUUUUUCUGUCUAAUAUUUUUCUUAAAUAAUAACAAAUCAUUUUUCUUGGUUUUCUCUUCGUAUAAAGAUGGAAUUACUAAUUGAACAAAACUGUGAACUUCUAGUUUAAUUCAUUAUUGGAAUUUGAAAAUUAUCCAGGAUUAUGUAUAUAAAGCUUUUAAAUUUUAUUAAUUGUUUUUCAUUUCAAAUUAGCUGGAUUUGAAUUCAUAAUUUACAAAAAUAUCUUUUUUUGUGCCGGUAUUAGUCACUCUUAGCUUGGUUUCAUUAUCUUCAUUGUUGCGUACAUAGUCUCUAUUAGCUUUUGUAUUUAAUUUGUUUGUCUACUUCCCACUAAAACCCAAGCUUUUUCUGGCGUCUAUUGCGUUGGUUUGGGUUUUAUGCCUUUCUUUGUUUCUUUAUUUUUAAUUUUUUUCUGAGUUUGGGAUUAAAAUAUGAAAAUGAUAAUCUAAAUGAUGAAAAUGAUAAUCUAAAUGAUGAAAAUGAUAAUUAUUUUUAACUCAAGAUAAGGGUAAAGUUAGAUACAUGAAGAGGCAAAUCAUUGCAAAAUGAUGCAUUAUUUGGAAGUGGAAAGGGAUAUGCUUAAAAAUGAUACUUAGAGCAUAAAUUUCUCACCAUAGGUUGAUUUAACAAUGCCCAAUUUGCACCACAUAUAACAACAUUUAUUUUUGUUUUCUGCUAAUCUGUAGUCCAACUUUGUUUUAGAAGCAUUUGGUAAUGCUAAGACUGUUAGGAACAAUAACUCAAGGUGAGUGUAUUUUGUUUUAACAAAUUUUACACCCUGCAUGUAGUAGAUUCUAUGUUAUAAUCGUUUUUUUUUUCACCUUUACAUGCAUGUUUUGAAUGAUGUAACCGUUUUGGUAAGUUUGUGGAGAUUCAAUUUGACCGGAGGGGAAGGAUUUCAAGAGCUGCCAUCAUGACUUAUUUAUUAGAAAGAUCACGUGUUUGUCAAGUGUUUAAUCCUGAGAGAAAUUAUCACUGUUUAUACAUGCUUUGUGCAACACCACCAGAACUUAUUGGAGAUGAAGAAUCAACCAAAAUAAGUUAGGUCAGCUUCCACAACUAAGCAUUUCACAAGUAUGAAAACUUGAAGGUGGUCUGUCAAUGGGUUAGGCCUCUACACAAAUAUGAAAACUGGAGAGCAGACAUUCUAUAUCAAAUACAAUACAAUCAGGUCGGACAUCAACUGUAAGCUCUUCAGUGAAGUUGAAAUCACAAAAUAAGAAACGCCAAACUGGUAGAGAUCCUAUAAUCACACAAGAAUCAGUUGCAAAUUAGAAGCAAGCGAAGAGCUUUGGUAUAUUGUUAGUUUGAUAUUGAAUAUUGGAUUUGGUUGGUAUUAGUACAGAGUUUGUGCUGCUAUAUCCACUGUUUUGUUUUUGGUAAAUGCAAUAUUUUGGUGUUGGUUGAUAUUGCUAUAGGCACUUUGUUAUUGUUGGGUUCUUUUUGCUUGUGCAAAUGCUGGAUGGGUUGAUAAAGGCCUACAAUAUUUCCACUCAAUAAAGGACAUACAAGGAUUAAUCUA